This 786-nucleotide ribosomal RNA is filed under the name uncultured bacterium. RNAcentral describes it as "bacterial SSU rRNA". It matches the Rfam family "Bacterial small subunit ribosomal RNA", at positions 82 to 902 of the family's 1533-position model. The record is from RNAcentral.
CCCGCAAGGGUGAGUGGCGGACGGGUUAGUAAUACGAUCGAACAUACCUCGAGCUGGAGGAUAGCGGCGGGAAACUGCCGGUAAUACUCCAUGUCCUCUCCGGAGAAAAGCUUUUGCGGCUUGAGAUUGGCGAUUGUCCUAUCAGCUAGUUGGCGGGGUAAAGGCCCACCAAGGCGAAGACGGGUAGCAGGUGUGAGAGCACGACCUGCAACAUCGGGACUGAGACACUGCCCGGACUCCUACGGGAGGCUGCAGCGACGAAUCUUCUGCAAUGGGCGAAAGCCUGACAGAGCAAUGCCGCGUGUGGGAUGAAGCGUCUAUGACGUGUAAACCACUGUCAGGGGGCGGAACCAAUGAUUGCCCCCAGAGGAAGAGCCGGCUAACCCUGUGCCAGCAGCCGCGGUAAUACAGGGGGCUCGAGCGUUACGCGGAAUCACAGGGCUUAAAGGGUGCGUAGGUGGCUCGCAAAGCAUUACGUGAAAGCCCCGGGCUCAACCCGGGAAUUGCGCGAUGUACUGGCGAGCUUGAGGUAUGUAGGGGUUGACGGAACAGUGGGUGGAGCGGUGAAAUGCGUAGAGAUCCACUGGAACGCCGAUGGUGAAGACGGUCAACUGGGCAUAUCCUGACACUGAGGCACGAAAGCGUGGGGAGCAAACAGGAUUAGAUACCCUGGUAGUCCACGCCGUAAACGAUGAUGACUGGACCGGUGCGGGUCUUACCCCGUAUCGGUCGAAGCGAAAGCGUUAAGUCAUCCGCCUGGGAAGUACGGUCGCAAGACUAAAACUC